RNAcentral lists this ribosomal RNA (313 nucleotides) under uncultured Anaerolineaceae bacterium. RNAcentral describes it as "bacterial SSU rRNA". It matches the Rfam family "Bacterial small subunit ribosomal RNA", at positions 1057 to 1382 of the family's 1533-position model. Lineage: Bacteria; Bacillati; Chloroflexota; Anaerolineae; Anaerolineales; Anaerolineaceae. The record is from RNAcentral.
AGCUCGUGUCGUGAGAUGUUCGGUUAAGUCCGCUUAACGAGCGCAACCCUCGCUGUGUGUUACAAGUGUCACACGGAACUGCCGGUCAUAACCGGAGGAAGGUGGGGAUGACGUCAAGUCAGCAUGGCCUUUAUAUCCUGGGCUACACACACGCUACAAUGGGAAGGGACAAUAGGUUGCGAAGCCGCGAGGCGGAGCCAAUCCAGCAAAACUUCCCUCAGUUCAGAUUGCAGGCUGCAACUCGCCUGCAUGAAGUUGGAGUUGCUAGUAAACGCAGGUCAGCCAUACUGCGUUGAAUACGUUCCCGGGGCUU